This is a long non-coding RNA of Clupea harengus (Atlantic herring), 1540 nucleotides long. RefSeq lists it as uncharacterized. NCBI's taxonomy places the organism in Eukaryota, Metazoa, Chordata, Actinopteri, Clupeiformes, Clupeidae. The record is from RefSeq and is a predicted model, not a curated record.
GUAUGUGUAUGUGUAUUGCGGUGGUGGUGUGUUAGGGGUUCUCCCUCUGUUCUCUGAUAUUGAUUUAUGGGGUCCUCUCCCCUGACACCCUCUGGGUUUAUGGACCUGAGCCCCAAGCAUCUGAUGCCCUUUUCUGCUCCCAGAUCAGUGCCAAUCUGAGUGGUCUGAGCUCCCCCUCCGCGGAUGCGGCCCUAGGCAUUUGGAGAACAAGAUGGUGGCAGCUCCCCCUGUUUAACACAGUCUACCUAGACCUGGUAUGGCCAACAUCAAGGGAUUAUGACAGGUGCAGCAGCACUCAAGCAUUGCAUUUCUCUCAGAGGACACGUUUGUAUUUGGUGGUUGGGGCUGGGAUGAAGAAUCAAGGGAAAGUGCUGAUGACAAACACGAGGCCCCCAUCCUCCCGUCAUCCGGCAUGUCUGAUACCAAGGCCGUCCUGGAUCCUCGGUGGGCAGAGGUGCGCUUCCAUGGACCUUCACCAAAAAAAAUAAAAAAACCUGGACGCUUCCUGGUGACACCUCGUUCCUCUCUCUCUCUCUCUACCUCUCUCUCUGUCUCUCCCUGCUUCCCUGAUGUUAUCAGAGGCUGUCCGGGACGCCCAGCGUAACCCCUUUGUGGCUCGCGGACCCGUCUUCCGUCUGCACACGUGUGUGUCACAUUAUCUGUCAAGAGGCCAGACUCUAUUUCCUGUGUACUUGGGAGUUAUGGGAUUGGGGUUGAGGGUGGGAGUUGGAGUUGAAGGAGGUGGUGGUGGGGUGGGGGGGGCUGCAACAGGAAAAAGGAAGUGGACACAGACCGACAUUCAUGGGCAGGGACUGGAGGGAGAGAUUGUGUGUGGAGAUUCCCCUCCGAGCCAAGAUUUAUCCUCUAAUUUGGCCGUGCAGCUCAGGGCGUUAUUAUAAAGACAUUAGGCCUGAGCGCUGCUGAAGGUCUGGGGAGAGUCAUUGAAGCGCCUGGCCAGCUCAGCCCACGAGCAGAGGUCAGCUGGCCUGCAGAAAGUCAAACAGCUGUGCAGAAAGGUUAGGGCCUGAAACAAGGAAUUUAAAGAUUUAAUCUCUAUACCUAAUGUGUGUAACUGUUAAGCGUCACUGAUAAACUGCAGAUGGGUGUAGAUUGCCUUAGUGUAUUACAUUGUAAUCACAGUAUUAGCUUUGGUGUUCUUAAAGCCAGCUGACGGUUAUAGUGACAACGGUAGUUACAGUCUCCCUUGCCCACACACACACACACACACGCAUCAUGGGGACCCUCUUGAACUUCGGCUUUGUGUCUCUUGUCGUUUAUUCAUCUUACAUGGAGGCUGCAUGCCUUUUGAAAUGUCACAGGAGAGCAACAGUCAAGGAAAAUGUGUGAAGAAUGAAGAAGAAUCUAUUUCUAUGUAGGGCGUCGACCGCCUUUGAAGCCGCCUGGUCAACAAAUCCCAACAUGGUGUUCGCAGUUUUAGGGAAAUAUUCAACACUGGCGCUGUAAUCUGGAACCUAAUGAGGCUUCUGAGUCACAACAGUUAGCCAUACUGUGACCUCAAUAAAAUAGCUAUUUCACAGAA